GAAAAUAGUAGAAUGGAUGUGUAAAAACCAAGGUGUUAAGAAAUGGUAUGAAAUGUUUAAUUAUGGAAUUUUGAAAGAAUAAUGAACAUGAUGUAAAUACAUAAUUAUGCAUGCUAGAAGCUCAUGUAUGACUUUUGUGAUGAUGGAAUGAUAAAUUGUUAGAUUGAUUAGCAUUGUAGUAUUGUGAUACAUGUUGAACUCGUUAAGCGAUUGACACGUGAAUAGAAGUGUGAUUAGUGAUGCGUAUGAUUACGUAUACUAACUAUUGAAUGGAUGUAAUGGAAUGAGAUAAUAGGAACGUGUCAAGGAGAGCUCAAGCAUAGGAGGAUAACGGGUCAAGAUAAGGCAAGGUGACAAAUACACUUAUUGGAGUACUCAAGGUUAUGAAUGUCGGACUUUCGAAGUGUUGAUAUAAUAAUGAAACGGUUGAAUGUUGAAAGGAUAAUCGGAUUGAAGUAACUUAUGCGGUUAGAAUA
This 476-nucleotide long non-coding RNA is filed under the name Helianthus annuus (common sunflower). The record is from RNAcentral. Lineage: Eukaryota; Viridiplantae; Streptophyta; Magnoliopsida; Asterales; Asteraceae.